CGGUGGAGUAUGUGGUUUAAUUCGAUGAUACGCGAGGAACCUUACCUGGGCGUCGAACGUAAGAUGACUGUAGGUGAAAGCUUACAUCUCUUCGGAGCAUUUUACGAGGUGCUGCAUGGUUGUCGUCAGCUCGUGCCGUGAGGUGUCGGGUUAAGUCCCAUAACGAGCGCAACCCUACCCUUUUAGUUGCCAUCAGGUAAUGCUGGGGACUCUAAAGGAACUGCCUACGCAAGUAGUGAGGAAGGCGGGGAUGACGUCAAAUCAGCACGGCCCUUACGUCCAGGGCUACACACGUGCUACAAUGGCCGAUACAGAGGGCAGCUACCUGGUGACAGGAUGCAAAUCUCCAAAGUCGGUCUCAGUUCGGAUCGGAGUCUGCAACCCGACUCCGUGAAGUUGGAUUCGCUAGUAAUCGCGCAUCAGCCAUGGCGCGGUGAAUACGUUCCCGGGCCUU
Molecule: ribosomal RNA, 454 nt
Filed under: uncultured Sphingobacteriales bacterium
Lineage: Bacteria; Pseudomonadati; Bacteroidota; Sphingobacteriia; Sphingobacteriales
Description: bacterial SSU rRNA
Rfam family: Bacterial small subunit ribosomal RNA
Source: RNAcentral